This 759-nucleotide ribosomal RNA is filed under the name Weissella confusa. Its description in RNAcentral is "bacterial SSU rRNA". It matches the Rfam family "Bacterial small subunit ribosomal RNA", at positions 63 to 804 of the family's 1533-position model. The record is from RNAcentral. Lineage: Bacteria; Bacillati; Bacillota; Bacilli; Lactobacillales; Lactobacillaceae.
AGAGCUUGCUCAGAUAUGACGAUGGACAUUGCAAAGAGUGGCGAACGGGUGAGUAACACGUGGGAAACCUACCUCUUAGCAGGGGAUAACAUUUGGAAACAGAUGCUAAUACCGUAUAACAAUGACAACCGCAUGGUUGUUAUUUAAAAGAUGGUUCUGCUAUCACUAAGAGAUGGUCCCGCGGUGCAUUAGCUAGUUGGUAAGGUAAUGGCUUACCAAGGCGAUGAUGCAUAGCCGAGUUGAGAGACUGAUCGGCCACAAUGGGACUGAGACACGGCCCAUACUCCUACGGGAGGCAGCAGUAGGGAAUCUUCCACAAUGGGCGAAAGCCUGAUGGAGCAACGCCGCGUGUGUGAUGAAGGGUUUCGGCUCGUAAAACACUGUUGUAAGAGAAGAAUGACAUUGAGAGUAACUGUUCAAUGUGUGACGGUAUCUUACCAGAAAGGAACGGCUAAAUACGUGCCAGCAGCCGCGGUAAUACGUAUGUUCCAAGCGUUAUCCGGAUUUAUUGGGCGUAAAGCGAGCGCAGACGGUUAUUUAAGUCUGAAGUGAAAGCCCUCAGCUCAACUGAGGAAUUGCUUUGGAAACUGGAUGACUUGAGUGCAGUAGAGGAAAGUGGAACUCCAUGUGUAGCGGUGAAAUGCGUAGAUAUAUGGAAGAACACCAGUGGCGAAGGCGGCUUUCUGGACUGUAACUGACGUUGAGGCUCGAAAGUGUGGGUAGCAAACAGGAUUAGAUACCCUGGUAGUCCACACCGUA